RNAcentral lists this ribosomal RNA (444 nucleotides) under uncultured bacterium. Its description in RNAcentral is "bacterial SSU rRNA". It matches the Rfam family "Bacterial small subunit ribosomal RNA", at positions 28 to 484 of the family's 1533-position model. The record is from RNAcentral.
GACGAACGCUGGCGGCGUGCUUAACACAUGCAAGUCGAACGGUGAACCAGAGCUUGCUCUGGGGAUCAGUGGCGAACGGGUGAGUAACACGUGGGCAACCUGCCCAGACUCUGGGAUAACCUCGGGAAACCGAUGCUAAUACCGGAUACGACCACUUCGGACAUCCGACGGUGGUGGAAAGUUUUUCGGUCUGGGAUGGGCCCGCGGCCUAUCAGCUAGUUGGUGGGGUAAUGGCCUACCAAGGCGACGACGGGUAGCCGGCCUGAGAGGGCGACCGGCCACACUGGAACUGAGACACGGUCCAGACUCCUACGGGAGGCAGCAGUGGGGAAUAUUGCACAAUGGGCGAAAGCCUGAUGCAGCGACGCCGCGUGAGGGGACGACGGGCCUUCGGGUUGUAACCGUCUUCUAGCAGGGACGAAGCGAAAGUGACUGUACCUGCAG